GGAAUAUUUAUACAAAAAGCUUCUAACUUUUUCUCAAGCAGUUAAAUUCUGUUUAUAUUCCU
Molecule: transfer RNA, 62 nt
Filed under: Pseudocarcinus gigas
Lineage: Eukaryota; Metazoa; Arthropoda; Malacostraca; Decapoda; Eriphiidae
Description: tRNA-Ser
Source: RNAcentral